RNAcentral lists this long non-coding RNA (4825 nucleotides) under Homo sapiens (human). RNAcentral describes it as "HSALNT0400052". Lineage: Eukaryota; Metazoa; Chordata; Mammalia; Primates; Hominidae. The record is from RNAcentral.
GCUAAAGUCAACAGUCGCUUGGUUUGAGCUCAAAUAAAUGCGGGGAUGCCUCGGCUCGGAGCAGUCGGCCUCCUCCCUCCGCGAGCUGGACGCUCCGCAGCCCGCCCGCCAGCCGGCCCGCCGGCCGCCGCAGAAAAGACAAAACAAAAUAAAACAACAACAAAAAACUCCCAGUGUGUUUCCUACUCUUCUUUGUCUUGGAGGAAAGCAAAGGGAGAGAAAUGGACUUCACCAGUGGUCUUUGGCUUCAUCAAUUCACAGGAAAUGGCAUCAAGAUGGUUCAACUAAGACAUGAUCACUAAAAACAUUAUAAUAAUACCUUUUUGAAAAACUCAGUUUCUCCUGUUUACUAAAUAUUUAUUUCAUCAACAUGGGCUGCGUUCCACUGUGUCAGGAUUCUGCAUGUGGGUGGAGCACUGUUCCAGCCUGAGAAGAUGGUUCUGAGGCCACUUAGCAAGACAUUUUCCAGCAUGAGCAGGUUUCUCUGUGGAAAUAGUGACACCUGUUCUGGUGUGUUGUCUUUCCUCAGGGAACUUAAGGGGUACAAAGCUCCUGAAAAUGUUCUUUAUGCUGGUUGAAGCUCUUAUGUCGCUGUACUGAUUCCCUACGAUGCAGAUUUGAAUCACAGAGUAAUUAAAAUAUGGAUCAAAUAAGGCUGGGGCUCACCAAGGCUGAAAGCUGUAGCCAUUCAAGGCAUCAUUUCUGUCAUGAAAAUAUAGGACCUUUUCAAAACAUGCCUUCAGGAAGGUGUUCUCUUUUCAAACAAAAGUCUAAUGACUGCAUAACUCUUCUUGACCACAUCUUACACUUUCUCUAGACUUGCUUAUUUACAGCUACUGGAACAAAAAGAUGAAAUGAAUAAAGCACACUGAUUGUCCUAAGAGUCUUCUGUGACUAAAAGCACAUGAGCUUCUCCCCAGGCUGAGCUUUGACCCUCCCAAGCAUUUCCCCAAAGGCCAUGACACUGCAUCAGAUUGCUCCUGGACACUUUCCUCAGAGUUUUCAACAAAUAUAAACUGAGGAGUGGAGCACAGCACCAGAUUUGCUAAUCAAGAGGCAAUGGUCCCAGUCCAAAUGGGUGCUGUGUGUGAAUACAGAGCCCAGGAGAAGGGAAGGAGGUCUGUGAACAUCAGGAAUUGCAAAAUCUUGCUGAACCAAUAGACCAACAGCCAUUAACAUUUGUCAAUGCAAAGAUCCUAAAAUAUACAAGUGUGGAGUUGUCCUGCCCUAAGAGCUGAAGCUGUGACAAUCACGCUGCCAUGGUAGAUAUUUAAGCUCCCCUGAGGUUACUGAAUCUAACAAUGAAUAAACAAUGAAGAGUAGCUAAUUUUUGGAAAUCUCUUUCUAUGACCGGAAAAUAUUCACAAACUCAGAGUGAUUGUUUGGGGUGAAAGAUGGUCCCAUGCCUUGUGGGCCUCUCUUUGCUAUCUAUACAACGUUGGAAAUGAACCCCUCCCUUACAGGAAAGUGAACAGCAACCAAGGUGAGCCCACCCUGGGAGGGCAGAGUGGGUGUACUUUCCUCGAAGAGCCCUGAACACAACAGGGCACACAAACAGCCACAGCACCCUCAACAAUGCCCCACCAUCUGCCCACCAGGGCACACAGAUUCACGCAGAUUCAGUGACACAUUCCAAAAAAAGGGAAUUAAGGAGGACCCAUGGCAUGGCUAAUGGGGAGAGAGCUUUACUACUUUUAGCACCAUUGCUAAUUAUUGGAGCAAAGAAAGGCAUACAAGGAAUGGAACCCAACCUGUUUAAAGUAAUAAAUGUCAACCCUAAAGUGCAUGGAACCAUCUCUCCUUCCCUUUUGAGGACUGUGUGCUUCACAAGCUGGGCGUUUGCUGCAUGGGGUUUUCUAAUGUAAUGUGAAUUUUCAAUGUGCUUUGUCUCUGUAGAGUGGCUUUAAAAAGCCCUUGAAGUCCUCAGCUUUAAAUCCAUGCUAAUAGGGGAAGUCUUUUUUUUUUUUUUUUGGAGGUGAGGAGCUUUGGUUGGGAGAAACAUUGACCCAGACUGCACUCUGGGUAAACUAGGGCAAAAGACCUGAUAUCGUCUGCAGGGUACUUAUUAACCACUGUUCAUUUGCAGGAUCAAUAUUUCCAGCAAAGGAGUCCACACUCAAGAUACACUGCUACGUCUCACUUUUUCCUUGACACAACAAUUUAUUUUAUAAAUGCAUCUGCUGGAGAAGAAAAGGCAGUACCAAGGAUUGUGUCUUUUAUCUCCAGGAUAUGCAAAGCGCAUUUAUUUUCAGCUUUUAUCUCUGGAAUUGUAUGUUGAUCCCAUACAUAUAGAUUGAUUUUGUUCAGGUAGAUAAUGAAAAGUCAAGUGGAAAAUUACACAAUGGCAUUCACGAUCCUAGUCUUAUAUCAGUAUAUAAAUUGGUUUAUUAUUUCAUUCUAUUAAAGAGGCUUUUUUUUGGUACCAGGAAAACUUCAAAAUGCAUUGUGUUGUCAGCCUCACUGAAUUUUCUUUUGGAGGAGGAGGUAGGGAGGGGAAGCCAAAGCCCCGAUUUCUCCUGCUCCUUUUGCUAAUUGUAUUGGCUAAAUGAGCUUUCACAGAGGGGGGUCCUGGCUGCUUUUUGCUCUCCCCCAGACCACUUGUAGGUUGCACACAGGGCUUCUAUAACUCUUUCUGAGUCAGGACAAAGAUAUCCGCCGUGCACACCCUGUGACAUAGGUGGAUAUUUAUUUCAUCCCGGGCAAUUCUAAAUUUUGUCAUGAUGACUGAAAGAGGCAAUCCCCUCCUGAGCAUUAAGAGGCCAGGGGUGAGAGGGUGGCAGCAUAGAAAAGCCACCACCCAGAGACAGCUUGGAGCCAUGAUCCUGGAGGAAAUGUUAUUAAUAAACAUCUUUUGGACAUUUGGUAGCCCGUGGAGCUUGCUCCAGCUUAAAGCAAUUAAUUCAGGACACUGACAUAAACUCUCCAGAUCUUUGACAGCUUGGAGCCGAAAUAAAAAUGCUAGUUCUCCGGGGAAGAGAAGAGGAUGGCUAGCCCUUUUCUGGACUGUUUGCUUAUAGGCCCAGAGAGCAACCUUCCUUGCAGAAUGAAAUGCAAGGGCACAAACAAUGUACCAGGGAGAGAAUAGAAGAUGGGAAUGAACAGUUUGAACUAUUUGCUCAGCAGAAGGGCACCACAAUGCUGGGGUAGUGGUUUUCCCAUGCGUCCACUGUCCCUUCUUUGGGAUCUUUUGUUGUCCCCUGUCUCCUUUGGCCAGAUAAAAGCACAGCUGCAGCAUUGCAGAUAACAAGUAGGCCGUACUUAUCCCCCUAAAUCUCGGGGUGCCUUUACUGUAACAAGUUAUGCUCGGCUCUCUUUUAUUUUACAAGAGGAUGGUGAGGGAGAGAAUGGAAGAACAGAGGGGGCGGACGUAUAAGACAUUUGACACUGCCUAUGUCUGAUUUCUCUUUCUUUCUUUCUUUCUUUCUUUCUUUCUUUCUUUCUUUCUUUCCUUUCUUUCUUUCUUGCAAGCUGUGAUCGGAUGCAAUCUUUGUGGGACAUUUAAAUGGAAGGGUUCAUUGAUGUGUAUUGCUUGCCAAGCCAAAAUGUUGCCUUUGGGGAAAAGGGAGAGAGGUGUUCAUGGAGUGCAGGGAAAGGAGGUUUUGGGGCAGAGAUUUUGACUUAAAAUAACCAGACUUCUUCUGGCUGCUGAAAAGAGGCAAAAGUUUUAAAUUGUCAAGUUUAAAACUAUGUUCAGUUAUGAUUUGCCACUUCUGAAUAUUAUUUUGGAUUUCCCCUUUCAUGCUUAUUUUGUUCAGAAUCCUAAUGAAUAGAGGUUGCUGGACUCAGGGUAAAAGCAGGAUGAACUGGAGAUGGGACAUACAAGGUACUUUUGGAAUUGCCAUAGAUUACACCUAUAAUCAGAGUAAAUGUCAUCAACAAAUAAUCAAAAUAUUUUUUACAUUUGCUCUUCUAAAAUCAGAGCCUAUUUUAAAUAUAAAAGAAAGUAGAUGUGAUAAUAAUAUAAACUACAGUCACAUUAAGUUGAUAUUAAAUUCAAAAUCUAACAUAGAUUUGCACUGUUGGGUGUGUGUUCCGAAUCAGUGGGUUUUCCCACUGAUGUUGAUUUCGGGAGCCAGGCUUCAAUGUUUAAUUCUAUUGUAAUGUGGUUAUUUAGCCUGAAUGGUUUUAUAAGGUGGAAAGGCAAAAAAUUUAAUUCCGAAGAAAACUAGUGUUUUACUAUGACUGUGGUAAACAUUUCCAAAGCCCACCUGUGGGAAAUACAAAGUUUUAAUGCUGUGUGUUUUUUUGUUUUUGUAUUUUGUCUCAUCGACAAAACUGGCAGAAAAAAACGCUUUCGUAUAUUUUUCCUGCUGGGUGGUCAGAAGGAAAGGCCGUGAAGCUAAAGGUCUCCCACUGAGACGCUGUUCUGCAAGGAGCCGACCUCACGUGCCGCCGCCGCCAGAGAAGAGAGCACCUGUUCAUCUCGGCUCACUGUGAGGCUGAGCUCAGCGCUGGCAGGCGAGGGGCCGCAAGCAUCCCCCACAGCCACCGAGAGGGCAUCCCUGCAGGGAAAUCAUAUCCGACAUGCCUGUGCCCACAGCAGACUUAAGACUGCCUCUAAAAUGUCCAUGAAGCCAUUGUCCAGUAGAGCUGUUAGUUUUAACACCAGUGAGUAUUACCUUUGGUUAAAAGGAUGCAUGUGUAUAGGUGUAUGUGUGUGCGUGUGUGUUUGUGUUUUUGGACUUGUGUGGAGAAUGAAGAAAGGGUUCCAUUUAGGCAUUUGCAAAUAUUCGAUGGCAUCAUGAAAAGACAAAAAAAUCCUAUAAAAUAUAUCAUAUUUUGCUAUGAUUUUGUGUGUACAUGUAAUAAAAUUAUUAAGUAUAAA